UAAGGAAUAUUGGUCAAUGGACGCAAGUCUGAACCAGCCAUGCCGCGUGAAGGAUGAAGGUCCUCUGGAUUGUAAACUUCUUUUAUAGGGGACGAAAUCUGUAUUUCUAUGCAGUCUGACGGUACCCUAGGAAUAAGCACCGGCUAACUCCGUGCCAGCAGCCGCGGUAAUACGGAGGGUGCAAGCGUUAUCCGGAUUCACUGGGUUUAAAGGGUGCGUAGGAGGGCAGGUAAGUCAGUGGUGAAAUCUCUGGGCUUAACCCGGAAACUGCCAUUGAUACUAUCUGUCUUGAAUAUGGUGGAGGUCAGCGGAAUAUGUCAUGUAGCGGUGAAAUGCUUAGAUAUGACAUAGAACACCGAUUGCGAAGGCAGCUGGCUACGCCUAUAUUGACUCUGAGGCACGAAAGCGUGGGGAUCAAACAGGAUUAGAUACCCUGGUA
This 439-nucleotide ribosomal RNA is filed under the name uncultured bacterium. Its description in RNAcentral is "bacterial SSU rRNA". It matches the Rfam family "Bacterial small subunit ribosomal RNA", at positions 355 to 792 of the family's 1533-position model. The record is from RNAcentral.